Molecule: ribosomal RNA, 652 nt
Filed under: uncultured organism
Description: bacterial SSU rRNA
Rfam family: Bacterial small subunit ribosomal RNA
Source: RNAcentral
CGAACAGGAUUAGAUACCCCUGGUAGUCUACGCAGUAAACGAUGGUUACUAGCUGUUCGGUCUAAUUGAGGGCUGAGUGGUUAACCGAAAGUGAUAAGUAACCCACCUGGGGAGUACGUUUCGCCAAAGAAUGAAACUCAAAGGAAUUGACGGGGGCUCGCACAAGCGGUGGAGCAUGUGGUUUAAUUCGAUGAUACGCGAGGAACCUUACCAGGGCUUAAAUGCAUAUUGACAGGGGUGGAAACACCUUUUUCUUCGGACAAUUUGCAAGUUGCUGCAUGGUUGUCGUCAGCUCGUGCCGUGAGGUGUCAGGUUAAGUCCUAUAACGAGCGCAACCCCUAUGGUUAGUUGCUAGCAGGUCAUGCUGAGAACUCUAGCCAGACUGCCGGUGUAAACCGCGAGGAAGGUGGGGAUGACGUCAAAUCAUCACGGCCCUUACGUCCUGGGGCUACACACGUGCUACAAUGGUAUGUACAAUGAGCAGCCACUACGCGAGUAGGCGCAAAUCUCAAAAGCAUAUCACAGUUCGGAUCGGAGUCUGCAACUCGACUCCGUGAAGCCGGAAUCGCUAGUAAUCGCACAUCAGCCGUGGUNCGGUGAUACGUUCCCGGGCAUGUACACACCGCCCGUCAAGCCAUGGAAGCUGGGAGUG